This 394-nucleotide ribosomal RNA is filed under the name uncultured soil bacterium. Its description in RNAcentral is "bacterial SSU rRNA". It matches the Rfam family "Bacterial small subunit ribosomal RNA", at positions 975 to 1368 of the family's 1533-position model. The record is from RNAcentral.
CAAGGCUUGACAUAACCGAGAACGCCGCAGAAAUGUGGAACUCUUUGGACACUCGGUUACAGGUGGUGCGUGGUUGUCGUCAGCUCGUGUCGUGAGAUGUUGGGUUAAGUCCCGCAACGAGCGCAACCCUCGUUCUAUGUUGCCAGCGCGUGAUGGCGGGGACUCAUAGGAGACUGCCGGGGUCAACUCGGAGGAAGGUGGGGACGACGUCAAAUCAUCAUGCCCCUUAUGCCUUGGGCUUCACGCAUGCUACAAUGGCCGGUACAAAGGGUUGCGAUACUGUGAGGUGGAGCUAAUCCCAAAAAGCCGGUCUCAGUUCGGAUUGGGGUCUGCAACUCGACCCCAUGAAGUCGGAGUCGCUAGUAAUCGCAGAUCAGCAACGCUGCGGUGAAUA